Sphaerodactylus townsendi is the source of this 491-nucleotide long non-coding RNA. RefSeq lists it as uncharacterized. Lineage: Eukaryota; Metazoa; Chordata; Lepidosauria; Squamata; Sphaerodactylidae. The transcript is spliced from 3 exons. The record is from RefSeq and is a predicted model, not a curated record.
GAAAUAAUGGUUUGGACCAAGGCAGUAUGUAAAAAUGAAUGAUAAUUGUCAUAUUCAUUCUGGACUAUAUUCAAAUGUGGAAGCAUAGAAUUUUCUCCACUUCUGUAUCUCAACUGACCAAACUAACAUCUUUAUGCGAAACAAUAGUAUUUGGAUAGGUGACCUCCAAUACCAGGGUUGGGCUGCAAAGGCAGUGUGAUUAGCACAAACCACAAAUGUUCGACAUUUGUUAUUUUUAAAUCCCAGAAAAUCCUGUCUCUUUUUUGUCAACAGAUCUGACAACUUAUGAUUCAGUUAAACACUUUUUACUUCUGAAUACGUCGCUUCAAGACAACAGCAUCACACACAGCGUUGCGAGCUGCUAUUUUGGGGACUCCAGCAGAUGUGAUCAAAACCCGAAUAAUGAAUCAACCGAGAAAUGAACGGGGAAGGGGACUGCUGUAUAAAUCUUCCACUGAUUGCUUGCUUCAGGCCAUUCAAGGUGAAGGAGU